GCAGAGUUGGGAAGGAUCUUCUCUCAUAGGCUGUUGACCCAGCUCCUCUUUCUGUGUGUGAGGGCAUCUUCGUUUUUUAUGGCAUUUUCAAAGCAGCAUAUGAGGAUUCUUAGCAUGCAGCUAAUUGACAACCCCCAUGUCCCAUGAUGUAAUGUUUGCUCUGAACUAGCCAUCUUGAUACAUAGGAGUGUAUGUAUAUUAGGUUCUUUGUAGAACAGCUUUUUUUUGUUGUUUUUUUCAUUUAAAAGGCCUCUGAAAGCCCUCUCAAAACGGACCUCAAAAAGGCAACCAGUGUUGAAUGGAUGGGAGCUGGGGCGAUGCAUGCCCAGGCUGGUCAUGGUGUGUGCAGCACCCAGAGAGUUGCACCCACUCCUUCUUCAGGUGGAUAUCCGACCUUUACACUGUGGUCUUACAAAAGUCAGCAAGUUCGGUUUGGCUGCCCUGUGAAACUUCGGCAUUCGAGGUCCUCUUCUGUUAAAACCCAACUCUUGGCUGGGCGCGGUGGCUCAUGCCUGUAAUCCCAGCACUUGGGGAGGCCGAGACUGGCAGAUCACUCGAGGCUAGGAGUUCGAGACCAGCCUGGCCAACAUUGCGAAACUCCAUCUCUAUCAAUAAAUACAAAAAAUUAGCCACUAACUUCUGUAAAAUAGGUCCAUUCAUUGCAGGAUCUCAGUGUCACACCUGACUUCAGAGGCCUUGUUUAACCCCUGUCCUCUUUGCCUCUGCAAUGCCUUUUUCUUCUUUUUAGCAAUAUGGCUCUGAGCGCAAAGGUUUGAUUGGAAAUCACGUUCGGGUUUUCAGAGUUUACAGUGUCGGUUGUACUGAAAACCACUUUCAGAGUCUAAAGCAGCUCAGAUGUUAUCUCUGGGGGAAUUAAUGUUCCCCUAAUUUAGCAACCUCCAUACCACAAGGUCUCUAUCUGUAGUUACUGGGAUUAUCCAGAUACACUAUCAAUGAUACAAAUUCAUAGAUGUAUUAAUGCAUUUCUUUAAACAUGACUUGAUUAAGAAGCAGAUAUGUUAAGCCGUUUUCUUUUUCUGCUGCUAAAUUGCAGUUAGACACUUCAGUAUCUUCUCUACAUGUGUAUAUAAAUUAGUAAGAACCUGCAUUCAAAGCAAUGUAGUAGUGUGUGUAUGUAUCUAUAUAUAUUUAUUCUAACUCAGCACUUCAGAAGCCUUUUUGAGUUACAACAAUAUUUUAGUUUGCUUCAUCUGUAGAGGUAAAAGUUCUGUAUUACCAAGCUCCAGAGGAAUAUGAUAUUUUACAGGCACAAUUUUCUGGCUGUAGCCCCUGCGGCAUUCAUUUGCUGGCCUCCAUGGGAUGCUGUUAGAACAAUUGUUAGCCGGCAAGAGAAGAAAGGGUACCAGGACAGCAUUUACAGUUGUAGAAUGGGAGCUUUCUUCCCUCUCCCCUCCACUUUCAUUUUAGCAUGAGAGAAAAAAACAAUAGAUUGGAAAUGAUUGUUGCAUCUCACUUCAUGAAAGUAGGGGCGUAAGUUCCUUCUGGAUCCUUUUCUUGACAAGCAGUCAAGAGGAAGGUCCCCAUACACAUGUCCCUGUGUGAUACUUGGUAGUUUCUGAGAAUGGUGCUACAUAAGCGUUGCUGUUAGGCUGGGAUCCUAUUAACGAAUGUUCGGUUAGUUCAGGCUUCCCAGUGGCAAAGGCAGACACCGUGGAGAUGGACAUUUACUGACUGCCCUUCUUUGUGGCUUCGGCCUCCCUGGCUGACACCACACCUGUGCGCACUGCGCUCGGCCCGCUUUGCUGCAGAAACACAACGAGCGUUUCAUGUCAGCUACAGCUGAGAGCAAAAACUGCAAAAAAAAAAGUCUCAUUGGAUGCCAGUUGUCUGAUACAAAUGCAGUGUCUUUUAAGUGACAGAAACACACCUAAAUACCUGCAACUCAAGCUCGCUAGCAUUUUUUUUCUGAGUACUUGAGAUAAAAUCCAAAACCCACCCUCUAAUUUUAUGCUGUAUUUAUAUAUAUGUACAUAAAUGUAUAUAUAUAGAAAUGUCGAGUUCUUCUGGAUUCUGAAUGUAAAUAAUUCUUGUAAAUUGGGACUCCGCCCACCUGUUUCUCCCUUUUCCCUCUUCCCUUCAGCUCUAUUUAUUCUUUUCUUGACUUUCCCAUAUGGGGCAUCUUACGACUUUUUUUGUUUUUUGUUUUUUGUUUUUCAUUUAGAAAAGUAUGGAAAACUUUUCAUUUAGAAAAGUAUUUGUUCCUGUAUUUUAGAAUUCAGUUUUGCAUCUUUGCUGUAGAAUUGCUGUUUUGUGUUACUGUUUUUUACUAUGUCUUAUUGUGUUUUGCAUUUUUAUUGUGUGCAAUGCAUUGUACUGGGGGGAUGCACUUGAGCGCCUUUUCUGACGCUGACAUUGUGUGGCUGCUCGUGCUCCUUUAUGUUGUUCUUUGGAAGCUGUAGUGACCUGAUGUUUUCACAUUGUAAAAAAUGCUUCCUGAGACUUCUUUAAAGCUCCUCUAACUUCUUCAGUGCAUUUGGGAUCAAACUUAGCUCUUAGAUCAGCAAACCUGACUUGCUCCUACUUUUGCAGUUUUUCAGGCCUUACCAUAUUUCUUAUCUCUGGCUUCCCACCUGAUAGGAAAAUCUUGCAGAUUUGAAACAGUGGUUUCUGGCCUGCUGCUGCAGCAAAUUCCCUAUGUUUAUUUAAGAAGUUGGGCCUGGCCGGGCGUGGUGGCUCAAGCCUGUAAUCCCAGCACUUUGGGAGGCCGAGACGGGCGGAUCACGAGUUCAGGAGAUCGAGACCAUCCUGGCUAACACGGUGAAACCCCGUCUCUACUAAAAUACAAAAAAAAUCAGCUGGGCGAGGUGGCGGGCGCCUGUACUCCCAGCUACUCGGGAGGCUGAGGCAGGAGAAUGGCGUGAACCCGGGAGGCGGGGCUUGCAGUGAGCUGAGAUCCAGCCACUGCACUCCAGCCUGGGCAACAGAGCUAGACUCCAUCUCAAAAAAAAAAAAAAAAAAAAAAAAA
Molecule: long non-coding RNA, 2986 nt
Filed under: Macaca fascicularis (crab-eating macaque)
Lineage: Eukaryota; Metazoa; Chordata; Mammalia; Primates; Cercopithecidae
Description: lncRNA (ENSMFAG00000060579.1)
Source: RNAcentral